UGUGUGUGUGUGUAUGUAUGUGUGUGUGUGUGUGUAUAUAUAUAUACACACACACACACACACACACACACAUU
Molecule: microRNA precursor, 74 nt
Filed under: Marmota monax (woodchuck)
Lineage: Eukaryota; Metazoa; Chordata; Mammalia; Rodentia; Sciuridae
Source: RNAcentral